GACGAACGCUGGCGGCGUGCUUAACACGUGCAAGUCGAACGGUGAAGCGCCUUCCUUUUUGGUGGGUGUGGAUGAGUGGCGAACGGGUGAGUAACACGUGAGUAACCUGCCCCCUUCUUCUGGAUAACCGCAUGAAAGUGUGACUAAUACGGGAUAUUCUGAGUCUGUCGCAUGAUGGGUCUGGGAAAGAUAUUGUUUCGGUGGGGGAUGGGCUCGCGGCCUAUCAGCUUGUUGGUGGGGUGAUGGCCUACCAAGGCGGUGACGGGUAGCCGGCCUGAGAGGGUGGACGGUCACACUGGGACUGAGACACGACCCAGACUCCUACGGGAGGCAGCAGUGGGGAAUAUUGCACAAUGGGCGCAAGCCUGAUGCAGCGACGCCGCGUGAGGGAUGGAGGCCUGCGGGUUGUGAACCUCUUUCGCCAGUGAAGCAGGCCUGCCUCGUUUGUGGGUGGGUUGACGGUAGCUGGAUAAGAAGCGCCGGCUAACUACGUG
RNAcentral lists this ribosomal RNA (494 nucleotides) under uncultured bacterium. RNAcentral describes it as "partial 16S ribosomal RNA". It matches the Rfam family "Bacterial small subunit ribosomal RNA", at positions 28 to 507 of the family's 1533-position model. The record is from RNAcentral.